GACGAACGCUGGCGGCGUGCCUAAUACAUGCGAGUAGAACGCUGAAGCGAGGAGCUUGCUCUUCUUGGAUGAGUUGCGAACGGGUGAGUAACGCGUAGGUAACCUGCCUUGUAGCGGGGGAUAACUAUUGGAAACGAUAGCUAAUACCGCAUAACAAUGGAUGACACAUGUCAUUUAUUUGAAAGGGGCAAUUGCUCCACUACAAGAUGGACCUGCGUUGUAUUAGCUAGUAGGUGAGGUAACGGCUCACCUAGGCGACGAUACAUAGCCGACCUGAGAGGGUGAUCGGCCACACUGGGACUGAGACACGGCCCAGACUCCUACGGGAGGCAGCAGUAGGGAAUCUUCGGCAAUGGGGGCAACCCUGACCGAGCAACGCCGCGUGAGUGAAGAAGGUUUUCGGAUCGUAAAGCUCUGUUGUAAGUCAAGAACGAGUGUGAGAGUGGAAAGUUCACACUGUGACGGUAGCUUACCAGAAAGGGACGGCUAACUACGUG
RNAcentral lists this ribosomal RNA (497 nucleotides) under uncultured bacterium. RNAcentral's name for it is "partial 16S ribosomal RNA". It matches the Rfam family "Bacterial small subunit ribosomal RNA", at positions 28 to 507 of the family's 1533-position model. The record is from RNAcentral.